GAUGAACGCUGGCGGCGUGCCUAAUACAUGCAAGUCGAGCGAACGGACGAGAAGCUUGCUUCUCUGAUGUUAGCGGCGGACGGGUGAGUAACACGUGGAUAACCUACCUAUAAGACUGGGAUAACUUCGGGAAACCGGAGCUAAUACCGGAUAAUAUUUUGAACCGCAUGGUUCAAAAGUGAAAGACGGUCUUGCUGUCACUUAUAGAUGGAUCCGCGCUGCAUUAGCUAGUUGGUAAGGUAACGGCUUACCAAGGCAACGAUGCAUAGCCGACCUGAGAGGGUGAUCGGCCACACUGGAACUGAGACACGGUCCAGACUCCUACGGGAGGCAGCAGUAGGGAAUCUUCCGCAGUGGGCGAAAGCCUGACGGAGCAACGCCGCGUGAGUGAUGAAGGUCUUCGGAUCGUAAAACUCUGUUAUUAGGGAAGAACAGAUGGUAAGUAACUGUGCACAGCUUGACGGUACCUAAUCAGAAAGCCACGGCUAACUACGUG
This 496-nucleotide ribosomal RNA is filed under the name uncultured bacterium. RNAcentral's name for it is "partial 16S ribosomal RNA". It matches the Rfam family "Bacterial small subunit ribosomal RNA", at positions 28 to 507 of the family's 1533-position model. The record is from RNAcentral.